CCUACGGGAGGCAGCAGUGGGGAAUAUUGCACAAUGGGGGAAACCCUGAUGCAGCGACGCCGCGUGAGUGAAGAAGUAUUUCGGUAUUUAAAGCUCUAUCAGCAGGGAAGAAAAUGACGGUACCUGAUUAAGAAGCCCCGGCUAACUACGUGCCAGCAGCCGCGGUAAUACGUAGGGGGCAAGCGUUAUCCGGAUUUACUGGGUGUAAGGGGAUCGUAGACGGCAGCACAAGUCUGGAGUGAAAUGCCGGGGCUUAACCCCGGAACUGCUUUGGAAACUGUGCAGCUCGAGUGCAGGAGAGGUAAGUGGAAUUCCUAGUGUAGCGGUGAAAUGCGUAGAUAUUAGGAGGAACACCAGUGGCGAAGGCGGCUUACUGGACUGUAACUGACGUUGAGGCUCGAAAGCGUGGGGAGCAAACAGGAUUAGAUACCCCGGUAGUC
This 440-nucleotide ribosomal RNA is filed under the name uncultured bacterium. Its description in RNAcentral is "partial 16S ribosomal RNA". It matches the Rfam family "Bacterial small subunit ribosomal RNA", at positions 338 to 795 of the family's 1533-position model. The record is from RNAcentral.